Molecule: non-coding RNA, 2296 nt
Organism: Myodes glareolus (Bank vole)
Lineage: Eukaryota; Metazoa; Chordata; Mammalia; Rodentia; Cricetidae
Source: RefSeq, a predicted model, not a curated record
AGAAGCCCAGUCCUUGGGGUAAGAAGAGCUGGAGUUACAAGCACUGUCUGAUGCUGGGGUAGCUGGCCAGUGUCCGCUUUGAUAUGUUAAUGGACACCUCAGCCAAUUGUCCAGUGUUUGAGACCUAACAAGGGACACAUGGAUAGUGAUAGAAAUAGAGGCAGUUUAUUAAGAAAGAAAAGGGCACUCUUGAGGGUGGCAGCAAUGCCAGUGUACUGGGAAAAGCCACCUGGCACCAGACUUCUCAUCUUUUAUGUUAUUAGCAUAGCAGCUGCCUUCUGCACUAGAAUAGUGUGGGCUUUCCUUUAGCAUGGCUAGGCAGGCUUCCUGGCUUUCUUUGCUAACUGGCUUACAUAUGUCAGUCUUGAUGCCUCUUACUCCUGCUGUGCCGCCACCCUCCCCCUCCAGUUUGCCACCCUCCUCAGGCUCUUGGGAAGACCAGCUUAGGGAGCAGCUUUGCUGAACCCCGACAUAAUUUCAUUUCCUGUUUUCCAUUCUUACUAGAAGUUCCUGCUUCUUGUCUCUUGCUGUCCAUGCUGAGCACCUUGUGUGCCUGCUACCUACCCUGGGCCCUGCCACCUGUCCCAUGACCCUUAGUUUGGAAUUGCUGUUUCCUGUAUUCUGACUCAAAAAGGGUUGUUCAGGGGUGUGUUAAUAAAGACCCAUUCCUAGACCUCAUCCUAGAUGUCCCAUGCUCAGCGCCAGAACUGGAGGCCCUUCAGCCUUCCCACUAAAGCCUUGGACAUCCAGUUGCUUUGGGGAAAAGGGUCCAUCUUCACCAGGUCCAAGUUUACAGUCUUGGUGGGGGGCUGUUAGCCCUGCUUGAACUCUCCCAGUGGCUCUGAUCACACUUUGGUUUUGUCCCUAAGGAGCUGGGAUGGAUGAGAGGCCACUGUGGAAGGGCCGAGGUAAGACCCGUCAUCAAGGCUCCCCACCUUGCUGGACCACUGAUCUCACUUGACUGGGGGAAGGAGGCAAAAACUUCAACCUAGGACAGCAGAGCAGGCCCUGGCAGGGGCUCCUGAGAGCAGUAUCAAGUAGCUGGGAGAGAGCACAAACACUCGAGAGACUGGCUAGUGACAGACAGCGACUCUACUGUUGGGCUCAUUUAAGCAGUGCUCUCGCUUUUUGGGAUCCUGGCAUUAGCUAGAGGAAGACUCGAUAACUUACUACUACUACAUAGCCCCGGCACAUAGUAGGCCCUCAAUAAAUAUUUGUUGAAUGAAUGAGAUGCGACUCAAAGCCAAGAACAGAUUUUGGGUGUUUCUGAAUCUUUCAUGCCACCAUUUCCACGGGGGAACCAGGAUCAAGAGCUUCAUGGGGUCUAGGGCCCCUGACAGGGCAGUGGUGGGACCUCACCUCAGAACCUAGCAUAAAGGUAAUUGUGGCUCUUGUGAGGGACACAGAACUUCCUUUUAAUACAGAGAGCUCCUUGCCCCAUUAGAGCUCAGGAAUCCUGAGCUCCCCAACUUAGGAGCCGAUCAGCAGCUGCGGAGGCCACACCACUGCUUCUUCACUGCCAUCAAACGACGUGGGCGGUGUUACAGAUGUGGCGUCAGUGGCAUCUGACUGCAGGACUGCUGAGCCUCCAGGGCCAGGGAGAAACGGCAGAGAAUGAAGCACUCUGUGAAGGCGGGGCUGGAGGGGACAGAGGCCGACCGCGGUGGAGCCCAGUGUAGACGCCAGGCUACAUGACCUGCUUGAGUACGGAAGCUGCGUGGGGGGGACCUCGAAGUGAGUCUAUCCGCUUGGACAGCCCUGAAAGCAGAUCCUAGGCUCAGCACUCGGGCCAGCCGUCAAUGUGGGACUUUCCUGGGAAUGGCUGCCCUACAAGUGCAGGUCUGACAGGAAUGCCAGCCCCUCCAGUGACCCCAAUCUACACAGUGAUGCAACAUGGUCCUCUCCAGAACCACCGCACUGAAGACAGGGUUUCAUAUGUAUCCCACUUUGAACUUGCAAUGUAGAGGAUCUUGAAUUACUAAAUUCUCCUGCUUCUAACUGAUGCUGGGACAAGGAAUGUAUUACCAUGCCGAGUUUAUCUCAUACUGAAGAUGGAUCCCAGGGUCUCAUGAAUGCCAGGAGAGCACUCUAUACUAACUGAGCUCAAGCUCCAGAACUUACUACAUAUGUUGUCACUGAGACACCCAAGGAGGCUUAUCAAAUUUGCUCUCUGAGCAAAGCAACCCUGUGUGAACAGCAAGAAGACAGUCAUCUGCAUGACAGAAAAGUUCCCUAUCCCAAAACCAGUGUGCCAGCCUUGGUCCCAGACUCUAAUAAAAUAUAUGUAUAAGCUGUC